GUGAAUCAUCGAAUUUUUGAACGCAAAUUGCGCUCUCUGCGGAUAGGAUGCCUGUUUGAGGGUCAGCCUAAAAAAAAUCGACAUAUUUGCUGUUACGCUGUAACAUGCGUCGUAUAUGGGGUCAUCUUAAACCUUUGGGUUUAAGCGGCUUAAAAUUUUCUUUACGAAUCCAAUAACGUUUCUAAGAUUUGAUCUUCUUAUACGUUUAAGGUAUCGAUCUUUUUUAGUCGUUGCCGUUGCAUCGCAUCUCGGCU
RNAcentral lists this unclassified non-coding RNA (254 nucleotides) under Glomus sp. RNAcentral's name for it is "partial contains 5.8S ribosomal RNA and internal transcribed spacer 2". Lineage: Eukaryota; Fungi; Glomeromycota; Glomeromycetes; Glomerales; Glomeraceae. The record is from RNAcentral.